Molecule: ribosomal RNA, 403 nt
Filed under: uncultured bacterium
Lineage: Bacteria
Description: partial 16S ribosomal RNA
Rfam family: Bacterial small subunit ribosomal RNA
Source: RNAcentral
GACGAACGCUGGCGGCGUGCCUAAUACAUGCAAGUCGAACGCAGUGGGGACGGGUGGGUAACAAGUGGGUAACCUCCCAUCAGAGGGGAUAACACUUGGAAACAGGUGCUAAACCGCUACUGAUGGAUGGACCCGCGGUGCAUUAGCUAGUUGGUGAGGUAACGGCUCACCAAGGCCACGAUGCAUAGCCGACCGGAGAGGGUGAUGGGCCACACUGGGACUGAGACACAGCCCAGACUCUUUCGUGAGGCAGCAGUAGGGACUCUUCGGCAAGGGACGAAAGUCUGACCGAGCAACGCCGCGUGAGUGAAGAAGGUGUUAGGAUCGUAAAACGCUGUUGUUAGAGAAGCGGGAUCUAACCAGAAAGCCACGGCUAACUACGUGCCAGCAGCCGCGGUAAUUC